UCCGGUUGAUCCCGCCGGACCUGACUGCUAUCGGAUUGAUACUAAGCCAUGCGAGUCAUUGUAGUAAUACAAGGCAGACGGCUCAGUAACGCGUAGUCAACCUACCCUAUGGACGGGAAUAACCUCGGGAAACUGAGUAUAAUGCCCGAUAGAACACUAUUCCUGGAAUGGUUUGUGUUCCAAAUGAUUUAUCGCCGUAGGAUGGGACUGCGGCCUAUCAGUUUGUUGGUGAGGUAAUGGCCCACCAAGACUAUUACAGGUACGGGCUCUGAGAGGAGUAGCCCGGAGAUGGGUACUGAGACACGGACCCAGGCCCUAUGGGGCGCAGCAGGCGAGAAAACUUUGCAAUGUGCGAAAGCACGACAAGGUUAAUCCGAGUGGUUUCUGCUAAAGGAACCUUUUGACAGUCCUAGAAACACUGUUGAAUAAGGGGUGGGCAAGUUCUGGUGUCAGCCGCCGCGGUAAAACCAGCACCUCAAGUGGUCAGGAUGAUUAUUGGGCCUAAAGCAUCCGUAGCCGGCUCUGUAAGUUUUCGGUUAAAUCUGUACGCUCAACGUACAGGCUGCCGGGAAUACUGCAGAGCUAGGGAGUGGGAGAGGUAGACGGUACUCGGUAGGAAGGGGUAAAAUCCUUUGAUCUAUUGAUGACCACCUGUGGCGAAGGCGGUCUACCAGAACACGUCCGACGGUGAGGGAUGAAAGCUGGGGGAGCAAACCGGAUUAGAUACCCGGGUAGUCCCAGCUGUAAACUAUGCAAACUCAGUGAUGCAUUGGCUUGUGGCCAAUGCAGUGCUGCAGGGAAGCCGUUAAGUUUGCCGCCUGGGAAGUACGUACGCA
This 836-nucleotide ribosomal RNA is filed under the name uncultured Candidatus Nitrosopumilus sp. Its description in RNAcentral is "bacterial SSU rRNA". It matches the Rfam family "Archaeal small subunit ribosomal RNA", at positions 1 to 845 of the family's 1478-position model. Lineage: Archaea; Thermoproteati; Nitrososphaerota; Nitrososphaeria; Nitrosopumilales; Nitrosopumilaceae. The record is from RNAcentral.